RNAcentral lists this ribosomal RNA (488 nucleotides) under uncultured bacterium. RNAcentral's name for it is "partial 16S ribosomal RNA". It matches the Rfam family "Bacterial small subunit ribosomal RNA", at positions 28 to 507 of the family's 1533-position model. The record is from RNAcentral.
GACGAACGCUGGCGGCGUGCUUAACACAUGCAAGUCGAACGAAAAUACCAAGCUUGCUUGGUUUAUUAUUGGCGAACGGGUGCGUAACACGUGAGUAACCUUCCCCUUACUUUCCUGGAUAACUGCUCGAAAGGGUAGCUAAUACUGGAUCUUCUGUCCAGCCUGCAUGGGUUGGUUUGGAAUGGUUGUUUUUCUGGUAAGGGAUGGGCUCGCUGCAUAUCUGCUUGUUGGUGGGGUGAUCGCCUACCAAGGCUUUGACGGGUAGCUGGCCUGAGCGGGUGGACGGUCAGACGGGGAAAAAGAUACAGACCACACAGGUACGGGAGGCAGGAGAAGGGAAGAUAGCAGAAUGGGCGCAAGACGAAUGCAGCGGCGUCGCGUGAGGGAGGAAGGCGGUUGGGAAGGAAACCUGUUAGGGCAGAGAACAAGGGAGUGCUUAUGUGGUGGUGUUGAGGGUACCUGGAUAAGAAGCGCCGGCUAACUACGUG